AUCCGCGUAUCGGGAGCGACCGUAGCUCAACGCGCAUGCGCCUUCUUACCGUAACGCGCACGCGUCACCGUUCGCUACCGCUGCUCUUAUCAGUGUACUGCUCUAUUACCGCUUAACUGGAAACGACGGAAACCUGUGCGGUGACACCACAAUGUAGGUGUGUAAAGUAUGGCGGUUAAUAUUUUUCUGAAUGUACAAGUUUAAUAUUUGAACAUGAAUUAAUAGUUUGAAGAAGAGAGAUAUCGAAUGAUUGGUUUUUAACAUCUUGAGAUAUAAACUUCGAGCUACAAACAACUAUAAACUUCGAGUUUCAAAGCGGAGAUGGAAGUUCGAUUUAUAGAGGUUUUCAAAGUGGAACAGAAAGGAAUGAACAAAACUUUAUUUUAUAGAGGUUUGGAGAUAUUUAGAUUCGAUCGUACAAUUCUUAUGGUCGGCCACAUUUGACGCACAACUGAGGGGACACGUGCCACGGUGUCAUUUUACACGAAAACUUGUUUUGCUUUUAUUAGGUGACCAGAGUUAGUAGAUGCUUGAGUAAAUUAAUUCUCAAUGUAGUAUGCUCUUUUUCCAUGUAUAACACUGUAAAGUCACGUAAUUCCACGUGGCGUGAUAUUUAUGUGUUCCUAUCUUAAAGUUAUUCGCUGUACAAGGUCGGUUAAUUAAAGCACCCCAUACUUUGA
Molecule: long non-coding RNA, 680 nt
Filed under: Megachile rotundata (alfalfa leafcutting bee)
Lineage: Eukaryota; Metazoa; Arthropoda; Insecta; Hymenoptera; Megachilidae
Description: uncharacterized LOC105663065, transcript variant X2
Source: RNAcentral